Molecule: long non-coding RNA, 1298 nt
Filed under: Homo sapiens (human)
Lineage: Eukaryota; Metazoa; Chordata; Mammalia; Primates; Hominidae
Description: non-protein coding lnc-LSG1-4:1
Source: RNAcentral
GGCAUGGCCAUUGUGUCAAUGGCUCAGGGAGACUUCAAGAUCUUCGCUGGAACCUCUAAGGAUUGGAAUGUUCGAUUCAGCUUCAGUGUGAGCAGCUGUCAGGGCAUCUUUCUUGGAGAGCAUGUCCAUGCCUGGGUCUAUUAUCUUGUCCAAAUAGAUCGUCUGCCCAGGCAGACACAGCCUUUGUCAUCUUUGCUUCUUGUUUCCUGGGUUUCCUAGUACUGUCAAAUGUGACCUUGUGCCUCAGAAUCAUCAUAGACGCUUGGAAAUGGGAGAGAUCUUCUUAUCUCGUUGCUGAUCCAAUACCACAGCAUACACAUGGGGAAACUGAGUCGGUGAUGAACUAUUCACUGGCAGUGCCCCCCCGCUCUGAAUUGGGUUUUAAGUGAUGACAAGUCGGCUGAGCCUCAGGUUUAGAGGAAACACCGUGUAGGAGCAGGAGCGAACGUUUGCUCUGUUCCCGUGGAGCCCAUCAUCUACCUGAGACAACAAGGCAGAUGUCCGCAUAAACGCCAGGGCUGUCCGUGCUCAGGGGCAAAUCAGUGGAAUAGGUAAUACAAAGAGAAAGGCAGGUGAGAGCUCAAUGGGCUAACACGGUCAAGGUAGGCUUCCUGGGGGAAGAGGUAUUUACCUGGCCCAUAAAGAAUAGGUUGAAGCUGGGCAUGGUGGCUCAAGCCUGUAAGCUGAGCACUUUGGGAGGCUGAGGCGGGAGGACUGCUUAGGUCCAGGAGUUCGAGAUCAGCCUGGGCAACAUUGCAAGACUUUAUCUCUACUAAAAAUUAAAAACUUAGCCAGGCAUUGUGGUACACACCUGUAGUCCCAGCUACUCGGGAGGCUGAAGCAGGAGGAUUGCUUGAGUCUAGGAGUUUGAGGCAGCAGUGAGCUAUGAUUGCACCACUGUACUCUAGCCUGGGUGACACCGCAAGACCCUGUCUUAAAAAAAUAAAAAAGGAUUAAGUUUGCCUGGUUUUUUCCAGGAAUGAGUUAGGCAUGGAGUCAGGAUAAGGAGAACAUGACUCAGUGUCACUAGAUAAGGACUUGGUAGAGGCAGAGAAGAGUGGAGAAUGAGGGCGGGAAGGAAAGUGAAGCUGUUAUGUUUAGGGUGGUUGUUCAUUAGUUGCUUGAUGUAAAGUUAUGCUUGCCUCCUUAGGUCCCAGAAACACAGGCCUGGGUAACUUGUCCUUACCCUUUUGUCCUUGUCUGUGCCUGGAUCAUGAGAACCAAGAUUGGAGCUUUUGUUUGGGUCAGGGGUUAUGACAGAUGAGAAGCAUCUAUCCGUUCCACCCAGCUACCCUUUG